This 5009-nucleotide long non-coding RNA is filed under the name Triticum aestivum (bread wheat). Its description in RNAcentral is "long non-coding RNA (TAES_LNC027835)". The record is from RNAcentral. Lineage: Eukaryota; Viridiplantae; Streptophyta; Magnoliopsida; Poales; Poaceae.
AUAUACAAAACUUCACUGAAACAUGCAAAUAAAGCGCGGUGCACAGUUCUCUACCACUGUAUCAAAGAAACAAACUUAGCCGAGGAUCUCAAAUCUAAGUGGAAAGUAGAAACGUUGCACUCUGCCUGUGUUGACUCAAUGAACCUUAUCUAUGUGUGAAUGACUAUGUUAUCAACCAAGUACUAAACAAAGUUUUAAGAACUUCAAAAGAAAAAUCGUCGCACAACAAUCAGUAUGGCGCGGCUGUUGGAAUUUUGAUCUCAGGUCAUAACUGACCGAAAGAAAAAGAGGGACCCUUUUUACCCCACGUAUGUGCCAUGAUCGGACGCACCAAAUCCAGCUGUUGGUUUCGGUCCCUGAUCCCUUUAGCGCCACCUAUAUAAUGAGCAGGAUGUACCCCUUCAAAAUAGAAACACACACACAUGUCCGGGUCAAUACAACUUGCUAACAACCGAUCCUUAAAAGAAGGCGCUCAAGGUGAUCAGAAGACCGACUACCACCGCCGGCCACCGCAAGGUCAGUGCCGGCGGCCAGUCCUACUGCGGCGCUCCUGCUGCUUGCUUUGAGGUCCUGUUCCUGCACUUCUUCUCCAACCAUCUUCAUGUUUCGAGGCAAGGUGUAGCCAUAGGCUACAUGAGGAGUGCAUCAAGCAGGAACAAGGCUUCCGUCAGAACCUGUAAGAAAUCACGAACCCUUUUCUAUUAAUCUGUAUUAGAUGGUCUAAUGCUAGGCUUAAGAUCCUCUCACGUUUAUCCCUAAAGUUUGUUUCCAACAAUGGUAUCAUGAGCUAGUUAAGCCUAUAUUAGAUCCUAAUGACAUUCUAUUGAUGAUAACGACCAUGUUCGGUAAGACCAAUUAAGCUAUGCUUCCGCAUAAAGUCCUUUUAAUCAGCACUGAUUAAGCAAUUAGAAGGAGGGGAGUCAAAUGUUUAAAGGAACCGCAAAAUUUUGCCAAUUAGCUGGAAGCCCAAUCCUAGAUUUUUUUUCCCCAAUUGGAAAAACCAAAGAGAUCAAAUCCCAAAUCUCAGACCAGAUCGAAAAUUUGUAGAAAAGAUGGGCUGGGACUUACGUUAUUGAUGACAGCAGCCAUGCGUGCUCGCCAUGGCCGCCUCCAUGCGUGCUCAUCUUGGCCGAAACACGCCAUCUCUCGGGACGGCAUGCAAAAAGAGACGAGGGAGCCGGCGCCGCAUCCUACGGACACGCACGCUGAGUGGCCUCCGCGCCGCACACGUCGUCGUCAAACCCUCAAGCACAGGCGUCGGCGUUCGGCCCUCCAAUGUUAUAAGAGGAUAUUAAUAUUGAGCACAAUUAUGAAUCGCUCAUUGAAUUUUCUAAAUAUUUUAUUUGUAAAAUUUGAUUGAGUGUGAAUUUAAUGUUGAUGCCACACUUACGACAUUUCUUAAAGAUGUGGUCAUUUCUAAUGGGCUCAGGCCACCUCAAGGAAAAUGAUGAUGGACGCGUGGUUUGUUUUUUCCCACCGCACUAUGUGUCAUAAUAAUGUUGGGGCAAUAUGCCUAUUGGGCAAAAUGAAAGUUGUUGGUUGGUGCAAUUCAUGUCAUUUUUAUUAUGAUGUGCACCUCUCAAAUAUUCAUAACGGUCCAAAAUGAUGUUAAUGGGUUAUGAUCAAUUCUCUCAAUGAAGAAACUUUGUUCAGUUUUUUUUCAAGGUCGUUUAUUUGACAAUUAUUAAUUUUCCCAAUAUCAUAAUUUGGAGAAUCUUGAUAUCUAAAUUUUAUAAUUUUGGAAAUUCUUAUGAUGAUUUAUAUUUAUGACAUUUUCACUCUGAAUGUCCUCUUUAAUGAUUACUCAGUGGGUGUGAGAUUUAUAUUUUUAUGUUAAUUCCAAUAUCAUUUUCAUUGUAUGACACUGAGAAUUCUAAUGAUAAUUUUGACACUUAGGUUCAAUAUUUAUAUUAUCGUUGUGAGAUUUAGUGUCAAAAGGCAUCACUCAUGGCACAAAUGAUUAUAUUAUGAUGUUGCUUUAUGUUAAUGAUGGCAAUUAAUUUAGUCAUAGUUCUUGCUGGUCAUUACGAGAUUUUACAUCUCUCUAGUCAAAAUGGAACCAACGAGAAGUUUUGAUUAGAGAUUUAAUGAGCAAAUGUUCUAAUGGCAUAUGAUGAUAUUCUGACCAACAUUGAUUAUGUUUUUCAUGUGUCAUUUACGAAUGAGUAAGGUUCUUUUUCGUUAUCUGCCCAACGGUGAUACGGAUUAGAAUAAACAUUAAGCAAGUUUUUAUUCAUGGCAUUGCAUGGUUAGUUCAUGCUUGAUUUUUUUUUUGUUAUAAUGAUCAUAAAGUUGUCUCCUCUUUCCAGCAAUAAUAAUGAUGUCAAACUUUUGUUUGGCAUAGAAGAACCUUAUGUAAAUAUCUUUCCCACAUGGAGAGUGGAGAUCAUUGUAUCAUGUAAGGAAUCUCCCAAUGUUUUUCUGCCAAUAAGGCUGAAGGAUUUUUAAUCAUGAUGAUAAGGCAGACAUUGGGAGAGGACGCAUGUGCCAUCAUACACAUCACUAAUGCAAAGGAGAUUAAAGUCAAAACUAUUAUUGGAUUUAUUCCACUAGCUUUUGGAGAUGACUUAAUUCUUCAUCUUAUUGAUGAUGUUUUGGUUCAUGCUCCUAGUUAUUGGAAAACUUUAAUUUCAUCUCUCGAAUAGAUGACGUGAUUUUAUAUGUUAUUACGUCAACUCAAAUUAUGUAAUGUUAGUCCCACCUUAUGGUGAGACGAGUUAUGUUUUUCACUAAAUGAACCUUUUGUAAAGAUUAUAUGCUAUGUUACUAUUGAAUAUGUCACGGAAGUGUGAUUAAUGAGACCUCAUCAAAAUUGUGGUUUUAGACCACAUUUCGAGGGGGAGAAUGGAAGUCUCAUUUAAUAUGAGAUAUCGUGUUCACUUCUCCUACUUAAUUAGAUCAUAACAUGUACAAUUAAGCAAACUAUGUAUCUCAAUUCUCCAAGUAAGAUGGAACCAACGAGAAGUCUUGGUUGGAGAAUGUAUGAAAAGCACAUUCUAAUGUUGGUUCUCUAAUUAGGACGCAACAAGUCUUAUUUAGAAGAAUCCAUGAAAAAUGACUCUUUUAUCAUGUUAGUGUGCACUUAGUCCCUUAUGAGCAUUACGAAACACACAUGAAUGCUAAAGUGGCAAGCUUGCUAGUCUAAUGACCAUCAUGAUGUAACAUGUUGAUUAUAUAUGCAACUUCGUUUAUAAUCAUAUGUGACACUUUACUUAAGUGGCAAGUUUUGUCAGUAUCAUGUGGCUUGUGGUUAUAUUCCUGACUAACGUCGUGUAUAAUCAUUUGUCAUAGUUCAUUAAGUUCUUUUCCACCUUCAGCCCAACGGUGUUGUGGUUUAGAGCUGAGAUGAUUGUUAUCAAGAUUUUUGGAUAUAUUUUCCAUCUUCUAAAUAAAGUGAUCAUCGGGGAACCUGGAGCUUAUGAGCAUUAAUCCUAAGGAUAACUCCAUUAGAUCUUUGUUCAUAUGCAUCAGGUAAAUUGAGGGGAAUUCUUUUUUCUCUAAUGCAACACUUAUUGUUGAGACUCAACAAUUUCUCUAUGAUCAAUAAGUGUGUGAAUGUUCAUCUUAGUGGCCUUUUGCCAUAUAGGAUGAAGAUUAUGAACUCUAAUGAUGUAUGGAACUCCAUAGAAUUUCCUCAGUGAGUUGUUGUUACGUUUGUGUUAUUACUAUGACAUGCUCUUGUGUUGACUUAGUGAUAAUGUAUGUAUGACUCAACUGUACGGUUUUGUCAUGGGUGAAGUUGACAUAAGGCAUGUUAUCUAAAGAAAUACAAUUAUGUGAUAAUACAAGCGUUGGGACACUCAUACUAUAAGACGAGGGGGAGUAAGAUCACUAACUUGUGGAGAUAUAAUAUUUUGGCGAGCCAAGUAAUUUCUAUCUUCUAUUUGUAACAUGAAGGAUCUUGGUGAUGCCUCAUACUUUGCUUGUAUUGAGUUUCGCCAAGAUAUAGGUCCAAAAGGAGUAUAAGUUUUAUGAUGAUGACAUACGUUGAUAGAGUACGGAAGAAAAUAUUACGUGGUAGUACUCUAUCGCACCUGCUACUAAAGUCAAGGGCAAUAAAGGUGGACAAUUUAGUGUCCAAGGAACCAUUAUGAACUGAUCAGGUAAUGUUAGUUCCUUAUGCUUCAGCUGUCUGAAGCAAUGUAAGUUUUCAAUUAUGAACUUGUCCUAUUUAUGAUCGGAAUAAUUGGCAAAUAGACAAGUCCGGAAAUGGACCACUCGAGAAGCCGCGAAAAAUCUUGUAGAUAUGCAAGGCAAUAAAGGUUUACAUGCUCACUAAUAAGAAGUCUGAUAACCUCGAUAUCCUCGAUUAUUCAGACAUUGUUUCUGCGAGAUGUGUGGAUAUUAAAGUUUCCACAUUGUGUUACAUGCUCACUCUCGCAUAUGGAGCUAUAUCGUGGAAGACCUCCAUAAUGACAUUGAUGGCAUUAGAAAUAAUGCAAUUUAUGAUGGGGUAUGUUAAGAGGCUUUUGGGCAGGUUGUAUGUCAAAGAUGUUCUAUUCCCGAAAUUAAGGUGGUAGACAACAUUUAUAAAACUCACCUACUGCAUUAUGAACACGCAGUUUUCUAUGCGAGUAACAACAAGUCAAAUGGUGUUGCCAAAACUAUUGACAAUAUGUUUCAUGUUGUGAAAGAUAGAACCCAAGAUCAAGCUAAUGAUGUUAAUCAUAUAAAAAUGAAUCGUAUGUAUUAUGGAUCCGUUUAUUAAAGGCUCAUCACCCAUAUUUAUGAUUAUGUUGCCGGCAUGGGUUAGGAAGGCCUUUUGAUCCUGGAAUUAGGACCAUCAAAUAAACCAACUCCCAUAAAGUAAUAUGUUAUCAAUUCGAGAUAAAAUGUUGUACUAUAAGUAUUGAGGUUCAAUGGCACUUCAUUGGCCAUUGCAACACCUUACUUUCGUAUAUUGAUUUUAUUAAGAGUGGGCUUAUGAUGUUUUUUGACCUUACGAUCAAGGGGGAGAAUGUUGGAAUUUUGAUCUCAGGUCAUAACUGACCGAGAGAAAAAGGGGGACC